Molecule: ribosomal RNA, 898 nt
Filed under: Niesslia sp.
Lineage: Eukaryota; Fungi; Ascomycota; Sordariomycetes; Hypocreales; Niessliaceae
Description: LSU rRNA
Rfam family: Eukaryotic large subunit ribosomal RNA
Source: RNAcentral
GCAUAUCAAUAAGCGGAGGAAAAGAAACCAACAGGGAUUGCCUCAGUAACGGCGAGUGAAGCGGCAACAGCUCAAAUUUGAAAUCUGGCCCCCCAGGCCCGAGUUGUAAUUUGCAGAGGAUGCUUUGGGCGCGGCGCCUUCCGAGUUCCCUGGAACGGGACGCCACAGAGGGUGAGAGCCCCGUCUGGUUGGAUGCCUAGCCUAUGUAAAGCUCCUUCGACGAGUCGAGUAGUUUGGGAAUGCUGCUCUAAACGGGAGGUAUAUGUCUUCUAAAGCUAAAUAUUGGCCAGAGACCGAUAGCGCACAAGUAGAGUGAUCGAAAGAUGAAAAGCACUUUGAAAAGAGGGUUAAAUAGUACGUGAAAUUGUUGAAAGGGAAGCGCUUACGACCAGACUUGGGCCCGGCGGAUCACCCGGCGUUCUUCGCCGGGGCACUCCGCCGGCCCAGGCCAGCAUCGGUUCGCCUUGGGGGACAAAGGCGGCGGGAACGUAGCUCCCUCGGGAGUGUUAUAGCCCGCCGUGUAAUACCCUGCGGCGGACCGAGGACCGCGCAUCUGCAAGGAUGCUGGCGUAAUGGUCGCCAGCGACCCGUCUUGAAACACGGACCAAGGAGUCGUCUUCGUAUGCGAGUGUUCGGGUGCAAAACCCCUACGCGUAAUGAAAGUGAACGCAGGUGAGAGCUUCGGCGCAUCAUCGACCGAUCCUGAUGUUCUCGGAUGGAUUUGAGUAGGAGCAUACGGGGCCGGACCCGAAAGAAGGUGAACUAUGCCUGUAUAGGGUGAAGCCAGAGGAAACUCUGGUGGAGGCUCGCAGCGGUUCUGACGUGCAAAUCGAUCGUCAAAUAUGGGCAUGGGGGGCGAAAGACUAAUCGAACCUUCUAGUAGCUGGUUUCCGCCGAA